MicroRNA precursor from Pelodiscus sinensis (Chinese soft-shelled turtle), 150 nucleotides. NCBI's taxonomy places the organism in Eukaryota, Metazoa, Chordata, Testudines, Trionychidae. The record is from Ensembl.
UUAUAUAGAGCCUGUAGAAAAUAUAGAAGAUUUCAGUGGAUGUUGGUCUAGUUCUGUGUGGAAGACUAGUGAUUUUGUUGUUUUUAGAUAACUAAAUCGACAACAAAUCGCAGUCUGCCAUAUGGCACAGGCCAUGCCUCUACAGGACAA